Molecule: ribosomal RNA, 497 nt
Filed under: uncultured bacterium
Lineage: Bacteria
Description: partial 16S ribosomal RNA
Rfam family: Bacterial small subunit ribosomal RNA
Source: RNAcentral
GAUGAACACUGGCGGCGUGCCUAAUACAUGCAAGUCGAGCGAACAGACGAGGAGCUUGCUCCUCUGACGUUAGCGGCGGACGGGUGAGUAACACGUGGAUAACCUACCUAUAAGACUGGGAUAACUUCGGGAAACCGGAGCUAAUACCGGAUAACAUGUUGAACCGCAUGGUUCAACAGUGAAAGACGGUCUUGCUGUCGCUUAUAGAUGGAUCCGCGCCGCAUUAGCUAGUUGGUAAGGUAACGGCUUACCAAGGCAACGAUGCGUAGCCGACCUGAGAGGGUGAUCGGCCACACUGGAACUGAGACACGGUCCAGACUCCUACGGGAGGCAGCAGUAGGGAAUCUUCCGCAAUGGGCGAAAGCCUGACGGAGCAACGCCGCGUGAGUGAAGAAGGUCUUCGGAUCGUAAAACUCUGUUAUUAGGGAAGAACAAAUGUGUAAGUAACUAUGCACGUCUUGACGGUACCUAAUCAGAAAGCCACGGCUAACUACGUG